This 1437-nucleotide long non-coding RNA is filed under the name Oryctolagus cuniculus (rabbit). RNAcentral's name for it is "lncRNA (ENSOCUG00000038331.1)". Lineage: Eukaryota; Metazoa; Chordata; Mammalia; Lagomorpha; Leporidae. The record is from RNAcentral.
AUGCAGCAACGUGCCCGCCGCCCCCUCCACCUUGCACACGGCGGUGACUUCUGGAAUGUUCUGAGUCCCCGGCCCUGCCCUCUUAGAAAUAAACCUGCAGCAGGAGCACACACUUCCCUCCCCCAGCUCCUGAACGACCGCUGUGUGUCCCCGGUCGUGGACGCCUCGUCUCACGGCGGCCGCCUGGCACAUCAGAGCUCGGCGCUCUCGGGCCCGGGAACAGGCCACCGUGUGCACCAGCCGAGGCAGCCUCGGGCCGUUCCACGUCUCAGCUGUGGUGGCGGGAGCUGCUGUGGACACUCGGGGACCGGUGCUGGGGAUGCAAGUUUUUGUCUAGGAGUGGAACCGCAGGAUCGGGCGGUGCCUUGGGGUGCAGCCAUCGGAGCAGUGCUGAAGGCCUCCCCCGUGUUGGCUCAGGGGCAGCGAGGGGUCGCCGAGGCCAGGGCCAGGGCCGGGGGAAGGUGGUCCCUGCCCCUCCCCGACGGGCGCUGCCGUCUCCUGGCGCAGUCCCCAUGGAAUCCCCAAGCCGUGCAUGGUGGUGCCGUCCCGGAAGGGAGCAGUGCACUCAACUGGCUCCGCAGAGGGGGCCGACUUCAGCCAGGCUGCGGCCACAGGACGAGGCCGACGGCCACCUCAUCUGCCUUCCGGGGACCAGGCCUCGCCCGCAGCCCAGCAGGCUGCUCUCCACUUCUCUCUCAGAAGUGGGGGGGGUGCAGGGAGGACACACUGCACGGCCGGCCUCGCAUUCCUUCCUCUCAUUGGACCUCCUCUGUGUCAGUCAGCACAGCUAGGCGACUGGGAUUGGCACGAGAGGACCCAGCACAGGGAGGGCAGAGGGCAGAGGGCAGAGGGCAGGGCCCACGGCCCCGGGGCUGCAGCACCCAAACAGGCGAGAGGCUGUCCCACCCGGGGAGGGGUGGUGAUGGGGAGCACACGGCCCCGCCCACGGCCCCGCCCCACGGCCCCUGUGUGCAUCUCCAGCUGGUGGUCCCCCCUCGACCACCUCAGGCUGAGCCCCUGGGAACAGCUGGCUCCAGGGCCCAGGGGGUCACUCACCCCACAUGCAGCACAGCCCAGGGGCAGCGGGCAACGAUGCCAGCUUCCUCCCUGGGCCCUGUCACUCAGGGAGGUGACCAGCUCACGGCACAUGCCUGCUGUCACCCUGAGAGGUCGGCCAGCGCCCCCACCGAGCCCUCACCCAGACGUGGGACGGCCCGAGAGCAGUGGAGGCAGCCGUGCCGGGGAGAGUGCCCACGGCAGAGAGCGGGUAGGCUGGCCUCGGCGUGGGUGGGGGCACCUGGCUCGUGGGAUACCAGGGGCCAAGCCCGGCCCCCGGAGCUGUCCGCUGUGAGGCCCGCACGGGCCCUGCUGCCUGCUCCUGUGGGGUCUACCUUCAUUCAGGGGGCACCUGGAGGACAGCGUGGCGAUAGCAUUUCC